Molecule: non-coding RNA, 71 nt
Filed under: Pseudomonas synxantha
Lineage: Bacteria; Pseudomonadati; Pseudomonadota; Gammaproteobacteria; Pseudomonadales; Pseudomonadaceae
Source: RNAcentral
GAGCGAAACCACCCCGGCCUACCGGGGCGGUCUGCCAGGCGUGGUUACCUGGUACUGAUGAGCAGCCACCC